GUUGCGCCGGGAGAGGGAAGGCGAAGGCGGGCUGAGCCCGGCGCCGGGAGGAGUGGUCUAAACCCCACUGCGGCUUUCGCAUCGGAGACGUGUCUUUAGGAAGCAGAGAGGGUUCGAUUCUGGACUCCGCCCAUGACUCACUUCUCUUGUAAAGAAAGAGUUGUCCUUCCUGGUACUCCAGGUUUAUGGGAUGCAGGCUAAUGGAGCAUGCUCUAUCUGGGACUGCUAGUCUUAUGACAGAGGGAGAAGACAGCGAUGAGUUUUCGAAGAACUCCAGGAAGUGGCUGCAGAGCAAAGUAGGAUCCUGAUACUGAGCUCAAGUGAUUCGAAUGAAAAGACCUUGGCACAGACCUGUUAAGGAAGCUCCAUAUAAAGUGAAGAAAACAACAUGCUCAGCCAUGUCCUUGCCUUCUGCGCACGGUAGUGCAUUCACUGCCUGAGAAUUCAAGGCUAAAACAAAAAGAGGAGCUUUUGUUCCAACGGAUAAGUACUUACCUUUUUCAAAAAAUGCAUAAGCUGUCCUGGGUGUU
RNAcentral lists this non-coding RNA (530 nucleotides) under Pongo abelii (Sumatran orangutan). The record is from RNAcentral. Lineage: Eukaryota; Metazoa; Chordata; Mammalia; Primates; Hominidae.